This 143-nucleotide ribosomal RNA is filed under the name uncultured bacterium. RNAcentral's name for it is "partial 16S ribosomal RNA". It matches the Rfam family "Bacterial small subunit ribosomal RNA", at positions 338 to 494 of the family's 1533-position model. The record is from RNAcentral.
CCUACGGGAGGCAGCAGUAGGGAAUCUUCCACAAUGGACGAAAGUNUGAUGGAGCAACGCCGCGUGAGUGAAGAAGGUUUUCGGAUCGUAAAACUCUGUUGUUGGAGAAGAAUGUAUUUGAUAGUAACUGNUCAGGUAGUGAC